CCUACGGGUGGCAGCAGUGGGGAAUAUUGGGCAAUGGGCGUAAGUCUGAACCAGCAACGCCGCGUGAAGGAAGAAGGCUCUAUGGUUUGUAAACUUCUUUUAUAGGGGCAUAAAACGAGGCACGUGUGGAUUUUUGCGUGUACGCUAUGAAUAAGCAUCGGCUAACUCCGUGCCAGCAGCCGCGGUAAUACGGAGGAUGCGAGCGUUAUCCGGAUUUAUUGGGUUUAAAGGGUGCGUAGGUGGGUUGUUAAGUCAGUUGUGAAAGUUUGUGGCUCAACCAUAAGAUUGCAGUUGAAACUGGUAGUCUUGAGUGCGGGUGAGGCAGGCGGAAUUCGUGGUGUAGCGGUGAAAUGCAUAGAUAUCACGAAGAACCCCGAUUGCGAAGGCAGUCUACUAAACAGUAACUGACACUGAGGCACGAAAGCGUGGGGAUCAAACAGGAUUAGAUACCCGUGUAGUC
RNAcentral lists this ribosomal RNA (460 nucleotides) under uncultured bacterium. Its description in RNAcentral is "partial 16S ribosomal RNA". It matches the Rfam family "Bacterial small subunit ribosomal RNA", at positions 338 to 795 of the family's 1533-position model. The record is from RNAcentral.